CGACCGCNUGGGGAGUACGGCCGCAAGGUUAAAACUCAAAUGAAUUGACGGGGGCCCGCACAAGCGGUGGAGCAUGUGGUUUAAUUCGAUGCAACGCGAAGAACCUUACCUACUCUUGACAUCCAGAGAACUUAGCAGAGAUGCUUUGGUGCCUUCGGGAACUCUGAGACAGGUGCUGCAUGGCUGUCGUCAGCUCGUGUUGUGAAAUGUUGGGUUAAGUCCCGCAACGAGCGCAACCCUUAUCCUUUGUUGCCAGCGAUUCGGUCGGGAACUCAAAGGAGACUGCCGGUGAUAAACCGGGGGAAGGUGGGGAUGACGUCAAGUCAUCAUGGCCCUUACGAGUAGGGCUACACACGUGCUACAAUGGCGUAUACAAAGAGAAGCGACCUCGCGAGAGCAAGCGGAACUCAUAAAGUACGUCGUAGUCCGGAUUGGAGUCUGCAACUCGACUCCAUGAAGUCGGAAUCGCUAGUAAUCGUAGAUCAGAAUGCUACGGUGAAUACGUUCCCGGGCCUUGUACACACCGCCCGUCACACCAUGGGAGUGGGUUGCAAAAGAAGUAGGUAGCUUAACCUUCGGGAGGGCGCUUACCACUUUGUGAUUCAUGACUGGGGUG
Molecule: ribosomal RNA, 616 nt
Filed under: uncultured bacterium
Lineage: Bacteria
Description: bacterial SSU rRNA
Rfam family: Bacterial small subunit ribosomal RNA
Source: RNAcentral